UAAAAAAUAAAGUAAAUGUUGUUUGUAUAGAUAUAUACAUAGUAUACAUGAUUACUAUAGCCAGUCAUUAAAAAAUAAAGUAAAAUGUUGUUUGUAUAGAUAUAUACAUAGUAUACAUGAUUACUAUAAGCCAGUCAUUAAAAAUAAGUAAUGUUUUUGUAUAGAAUGUACAUAGUAUAACAUGAUUACUAUAGCCAGUCAUUAAUAAUAAUAAGUAAAUUGUAUAGAUAUAUACAUAGUAUACAUGAUUGCUAUAGCCAGUCAUUAAAAAAUAGUAUAUUUGUAUAGAUAUAUACAUAGUACACAUAUUUCUAUAGCCAGUCAUAAAAAAUAAAGGAAAAUGUUGUUUGUAUAGAUAUAUACAUAGUAUACAUGAUUGCUAUAGCCAGUCAUUAAAAAAUAAAGUAAAAUGUUGUUUGUAUAACAACACAGAAUUGUCAUUAUAUAUUUAGAAAACUGCUGGGGUAUAUACGACAU
This 477-nucleotide long non-coding RNA is filed under the name Mytilus galloprovincialis (Mediterranean mussel). The record is from RNAcentral. Lineage: Eukaryota; Metazoa; Mollusca; Bivalvia; Mytilida; Mytilidae.